Molecule: ribosomal RNA, 120 nt
Filed under: Fuscoporia torulosa
Lineage: Eukaryota; Fungi; Basidiomycota; Agaricomycetes; Hymenochaetales; Hymenochaetaceae
Description: partial 28S ribosomal RNA
Rfam family: Eukaryotic large subunit ribosomal RNA
Source: RNAcentral
UGACCUCAAAUCAGGUAGGACUACCCGCUGAACUUAAGCAUAUCAAUAAGCGGAGGAAAAGAAACUAACAAGGAUUCCCCUAGUAACUGCGAGUGAAGAGGGAAAAGCUCAAAUUUAAAA